GAUGAACGCUGGCGGCGUGCCUAAUACAUGCAAGUCGAGCGAACAGACGAGGAGCUUGCUCCUCUGACGUUAGCGGCGGACGGGUGAGUAACACGUGGAUAACCUACCUAUAAGACUGGGAUAACUUCGGGAAACCGGAGCUAAUACCGGAUAAUAUAUUGAACCGCAUGGUUCAAUAGUGAAAGACGGUUUUGCUGUCACUUAUAGAUGGAUCCGCGCCGCAUUAGCUAGUUGGUAAGGUAACGGCUUACCAAGACGACGAUGCGUAGCCGACCUGAGAGGGUGAUCGGCCACACUGGAACUGAGACACGGUCCAGACUCCUACGGGAGGCAGCAGUAGGGAAUCUUCCGCAAUGGGCGAAAGCCUGACGGAGCAACGCCGCGUGAGUGAUGAAGGUCUUCGGAUCGUAAAACUCUGUUAUUAGGGAAGAACAAAUGUGUAAGUAACUAUGCACGUCUUGACGGUACCUAAUCAGAAAGCCACGGCUAACUACGUG
RNAcentral lists this ribosomal RNA (497 nucleotides) under uncultured bacterium. RNAcentral describes it as "partial 16S ribosomal RNA". It matches the Rfam family "Bacterial small subunit ribosomal RNA", at positions 28 to 507 of the family's 1533-position model. The record is from RNAcentral.